Long non-coding RNA from Lepisosteus oculatus (spotted gar), 3506 nucleotides. Lineage: Eukaryota; Metazoa; Chordata; Actinopteri; Semionotiformes; Lepisosteidae. The record is from Ensembl.
AGAAAAGAAGAAUUGGAGGCAUCAGGUCCAUGACUUUCACAGACACAAACAUAAAGGGGAGAGGACCUUCUACAAACUUAUCCAGCACACAGUCGCAGGGGAGCUGGAGCCUAUCCUGGCAAACAGUGGACGCAAGGCAGGAUACACCCUGGAUGGGACGCCAGUCAUAACAUCAUCACAGUAUUGUUCACUUAGCUGAGUCAAUAUGAAUUUUAAUUGGAUAAAAAACAAAUACUAUAAACGCUAAAUGGGAAUCACUGAGAUAUUGGAGGCUGUUUAUGUUAACACGCCAUUUAAACCUUCUAGACAAUGUAGGGAAACAAAAGGGCAAAGUGCAUUUAAAACUGAGAACAAAGGAUUGUGGGAGAAUGUUGUUGAUGUUGAUGGCUUCUUUUAAGAAAUGGCUGGAUGAGACCCUUGGAUCAAUUAACUGUGAACUUCCGAAAGGGCUAGGUGGAUCAAAUGACCUUUUCCUAUUUGUAGACUGUCUUUAUUUAGCUGUUUUAUCUCAUCUCAAGGCGUUAGUGAUUUUCAGAGACCUAUGAAACCUCCUGAGCUGACCAGAGUUUUGCACAGCGGCUGUAAAGCACCACUGUAAUGAAAGGAGACCUCGGCUUCUCACAGGCAGGCAGACAGGGAGGACUGGUGCUGGCUGAAAGGCAGUAUGCGGAUGUACUGCAGUAUUUCUCUUCCUGCUAUAAAAGAGAAAGUGUUGGUUGCAGGAACACAACCCCUCUGGCAGGCUCUCAGUGGACUUCUGCAGUAAUGGAGAUUAAUCUGAAAAAGUGCUGAUGUCAGAGCUGAUGGAGUUUACAGAACCCACAGCAAACCUACUGCACAACCUACUGCAAACCACGUUUUCCAGUGUGCAGAUGGCUCUAUAGCUGGUGCAGCCAUACCCAAAUGCCUGCUGAUGAGUCUUAUUGGGGAUUUCAAUAUACAAACUUCUGAGAACUUUAGCACGACAAGCAGACUGAAAAUGAUCACUCCACGCUGUGGGUCCCCCAGGGAACGGGGACAUCCGGGGAGGUGCUAUAGACCCAAGAGCGCGGGCCUCACAGUCCAGCGGGAGUUGCCAGCUCACUGCACUCUGGGUGUGGAGCAGCCUGAGGUCAGACUGUCCAGGGUAAUUGGCAGCCGGGCUCCAGGAACAGGGGCUGCCAGGAGUUUCGAACUGUCCAAUGGGACAGUGGCCCGGACUAGAGGGGGCGGGGCCACCUGGGGUAAAGGGCAGUCCUCCGGAAUCACCCAGCAUGCACUUAGGCACAGGGUGUAGGAAGGGGUGUACCACCAGAGUCUGGAGGUCUGGGUCCUGUACUGGGGCCGGGCAGGACAGUUGUCCAGAGGGAGUACACUCUUCAGGUGGUCUCCUCCAGAAACCAGGCCGGCAUACGCCAUGAGGGCAAAUUACAGGGGUGCUUCAGAGCCCGGGUCCGACAUGGGCUCCCGGCCUCGUUUCCACACCCAGCAGUCUGGAGGAGCCCUGGGCCGCACAGCCUCAGAAGGGGUUCCCAUGUGGAGUCCGGGUGAGUCAGGAAAGGGGAAAACGGGAACAGAGGACUCCACUGGGAAGCACCGGGUGGUUGUUUGUAGGUGAAGAAGCUCCAGAUCAGUGCCAGAUUGCUGAGGAGAGACCAAACAGGGUUUAAAUAUCCCAGAGCACCUGGUAGUGUGUGAUGUUUCACUAAAGCCAGGUGCUCUGCGUAUCCUGUCUCCUUGGACAGAGGGAAGGCGUGGCCUCAGGCCACCGUCCUGUGAUGCAGCGGGGCGACUGUAACAGCUACUUCUUAGAAUUAGCACAGCACAAAAACAAUAACACUGGAUUUCCUGAAAGUAGGAAGGAAACAACACCAAAGUGAAAAUGAUGUGUUGAACCUCCCAAAUACUUGCUUUUCUGUUCUGUAACUGAAAUAAAAGUGGUGAGCUUCGUAAAGACUCACCAUUCUCUUGUUUUCAUUGACAUCUUAUGCAAAACAAUAUCUCCACCAGGAAACAGGGUUGAUUUUAUUAGUGAGUAAUGAGUCAAACUACAGUAAAAUGGGUCUGACUCAUUUUACUUUUUAUUCCCAUUUUGAAAUGAGAGAAGGGCUCUUGUACACAUAACAAAAAUAGUUUUUUUAAGCUCUUAACUACCAUUCAGUUGUUUAUUUCUAUGUAUGCAUCAUUAACAGCUGUAUGUUCUCAUUUUAUGAACAAGGAUAAUAAUAACACUAAUGCUUGAAGCCACUUCACAAAGUCUAAACAAUAUUUUGAUGCAAAACAUGUAUUUUGAUUCACUGGGUGGAGUGCAGAAUGUAAUUCUACAUUCAGAAUGGCAUUUUCUAGCAUUUCUUUUACAUUGUGUAUUUCCUUAAAUUCAAUUUCAUCACCCCAAGGACACCAUCCCUAAAUGAAAGAUUAUCUCAGGAUAUAUUUCAUGCAUUGGUUAAUAUUUUGUCUUUUUGCUCAGAUAGGUUUUUAAAGUAGUGGAUAUUGAUAUUUUGUAGGUCAGAGGUCAACAUUUAAAGGUCAUUGAGGCACUUGGAGUGGUGAUUAGGGCUUUGGAUAUCUGAAUAGAAGGUUGUAGGUUCGGUGUACAAGUUGGACCCUUCUGUUGUACUCCUUGAACAAAGUACUUAUCACACACCGCUCCAAUAAAUGCACUGCUGGGUAAAUGGGUCUCCAGGUCAUCAUUGUAAAUAAAAAGUUUGUUCUUAUUUGACUUAGCUGGUUAAAUAAAGAAGAAAAGUGUUUUCAACAAACAACCCAGAAAAACAAUAUCACUGGCAUAAAUGAUUUAUUCAUUCUAUUCAUUCAUCAUUUUUCUAAGUGCAUUAUCCAAUUCAGGGUCAUGGGGCAGACGAAGCCUAUCCCAGCAAGCAGCGGGCACAAGGUGGGAUACAGCCUGGACGAGAUGCCAGUCCAUCACAGGGCACACACAGACACAAAUACCAGUUUACCUACCAGUAUCUCUUUGGACUGGUGGAAACUGGAGCAGCAGGAGGAAACCUACACAAACAUGGGGAGAACAUACAAACUGCACGCAGACAGCUCCCUAGGAUUUGGACUAUGGGCCCUGGUAUACAUACACUUUUUUAACAUUUAAACAAUUUCAUUUAGUAAAAUGCAAAAUCAGGUGAGUGAAAUCUAUUUGGAAAAUAUUCCUAAAUUGUGUCAAAAUGAGAUUAAAACAUGGGUUUGAAAAUUGUGUUUAACUUUCAGUCAAUAAAACGCCCACAGCUAGAUACUGCAAUGGUGACAUACUGACUUCAUUCCAUUCUUGCACUGGCCACUGGCCAUGCAUUGGCAGUGAACUGUGCAUAACCUUCAAAAAGAGCAUGGACUGUUCCAUUUCCUCUGGGGGUGUUCACUCCGAAUACUCACGGUUACACAAAGUACAGGCCAUUGAUGCAGGCAGAAAUAUUGGGAUAACAGUGUAAUUAGAAUAUGUUUGAUAUAAAGUGGAAUUAUUCUGUCAUCUUCAGUGUUGCUCUCAGUUAUAUUCAACUACAUUUUUAAUAAUAAAA